RNAcentral lists this ribosomal RNA (469 nucleotides) under uncultured bacterium. RNAcentral describes it as "partial 16S ribosomal RNA". It matches the Rfam family "Bacterial small subunit ribosomal RNA", at positions 28 to 507 of the family's 1533-position model. The record is from RNAcentral.
GACGAACGCUGGCGGCGUGCUUAACACAUGCAAGUCGAACGGAAAGGCCCUGCUUGCAGGGUGCUCGAAUGGCGAACGGGUGAGUAACACGUGGGUGAUCUGCCCCUUACUUUGGGAUAAGCCCGGGAAACUGGGUCUAAUACUGGAUAGGACCAUGCUGUAGGUGGUGUGGUGGAAAGAUUAGUUUCGGUAAGGGAUGAGCUCGCGGCCUAUCAGCUUGUUGGUGGGGUAAUGGCCUACCAAGGCGUCGACGGGUAGCCGGCCUGAGAGGGUGGACGGCCACAUUGGGACUGAGAUACGGCCCAGACUCCUACGGGAGGCAGCAGUGGGGAAUAUUGCACAAUGGGCGCAAGCCUGAUGCAGCGACGCCGCGUGGGGGAUGACGGCCUUCGGGUUGUAAACUCCUUUCAGCCAUGACGAAGCCCUUGUGGUGACGGUAGUGGUAGAAGAAGCACCGGCUAACUACGUG